RNAcentral lists this ribosomal RNA (512 nucleotides) under uncultured bacterium. Its description in RNAcentral is "bacterial SSU rRNA". It matches the Rfam family "Bacterial small subunit ribosomal RNA", at positions 15 to 518 of the family's 1533-position model. The record is from RNAcentral.
GAUUAUGGCUCAGAACGAACGCUGGCGGCGCGUUUAAGCAUGCAAGUCGAGCGGCAAGGGCCUUCGGGCCCCUAGAGCGGCGGACGGGUGAGUAACACGUGGACAAUCUGCCCCCCGGCCCGGGAUAGCCCAGGGAAACCUGGAUUAAUACCGGAUGAGACGGGACCCGCGAUGGCGGGACCCGGGAAAGGCGCUGCGGCGCCGCCGGGGGAUGAGUCUGCGUCCCAUUAGCUAGACGGCGGGGUAACGGCCCACCGUGGCGACGAUGGGUAGCCGGCCUGAGAGGGUGGACGGCCACAUUGGAACUGAGACACGGUCCAGACUCCUACGGGAGGCAGCAGCUAAGAAUCUUCCGCAAUGGGCGAAAGCCUGACGGAGCCGACGCCGCGUGAACGAAGAAGGCCGUGAGGUUGUAAAGUUCUUUUCGGGAGGGGAACAACCGUGGCAGGGAAUGGCCGCGGGAUGACGUGAAUCCCGGAAUAAGCCCCGGCUAACUACGUGCCAGCAGCCGC